RNAcentral lists this ribosomal RNA (442 nucleotides) under Hermannula lanata. RNAcentral describes it as "partial 16S ribosomal RNA". It matches the Rfam family "Bacterial large subunit ribosomal RNA", at positions 1925 to 2577 of the family's 2925-position model. Lineage: Eukaryota; Metazoa; Arthropoda; Insecta; Diptera; Therevidae. The record is from RNAcentral.
AAAUGGCCGCAGUAUUUUAACUGUGCAAAGGUAGCAUAAUCAUUAGUCUUUUAAUUGAAGGCUUGUAUGAAUGGUUGGACGAAAUAUUAACUGUUUCAUAGGAAUUGAUUUAGAAUUUUAUUUUUUAGUUAAAAAGCUAAAAUAAUUUUAAAAGACGAGAAGACCCUAUAGAUCUUUAUAUUUUCUAUUUUAUGAUUAUUUAGAUUAUUUAAGUUAUGAAUAUAUAAUAUAUUUUGUUGGGGUGACAUUAAAAUUUGAUUAACUUUUAAUUGAUUAUUACAUUAAUUUAUGAGUAUUUGAUCCAUUAAUAAUGAUUAAAAAAUUAAGUUACCUUAGGGAUAACAGCGUAAUUUUUUUGAAGAGUUCAUAUCGAUAAAAAAGAUUGCGACCUCGAUGUUGGAUUAAGAUAUAAUUUUGGGUGCAGCAAUUCAAUUAUUAAGUC